AAGCCGAGGCUCGGGCUCCCAGGAGGACGGAAGGGAAACCGCGUUGCCAGCCACCUCGCUUACUCAACCCAGGACACCCAGCUUUCCCGUAGAUGGCCCUGGGGACUCUUUCGUUUGUGGAGUGUGUGUGCGUGCGGGUGGUGGCCCUCCUUUCCCCGUGUACAAAUUUGUGCCUUUACCUGGCGAUGAAUGGUGUGGGCGCAAUCUGGCAGUGGGAGUGUUCGGGUCCGAUUUCCAGAAGCCCCAGGUGUGGGUCACAGCUGAGAGCUAUUACAGGCCAAGCCAGGCCCUGGCCCCUUCCCUCCCCCACCCAACUGCUCCUGCCCCCACCAGCUCUUCCGGGGGACCCAGACUUUGAGGUUGAGGAGAAGAGAGGUGUCAGCCAGAGGUCAUUUGGGAAGAACAUAGAAUCCCUGUUUGGCAGAGGGGUGAUGAGGUUGUGAUUGAAGAGGGGGCUCCCCUCCGUUAUUACAUUUCUGGUGGGCUAUUCCUGUGAGUCCAGGAACACCCCAGUUGUAUGCGAUUCAAACGCUGCAGCCCUCAGCUGUUCCCUCUUUCUUCUAGCUCCCUCUUGAAUACCUUUCUUUCUUUUUGCCUUUCCCUCUACUCGAGCUUAACUGGCUUUCCCUCACCUCUGUCCCUUUAUUGCCAGUCUCUGCCUCAAGCCUUGCUGGCUUCACUUAAUUGCCUUUGCUGCUGGCAUGAUCCCAACCCGGACACACUCCCUUCUCCUCGGAGCCAAGGCAGCCAGCCUCCUUUUCCUUCAAAACCCAGCUCCAAACUCUUCCUUCCUGAAGGUCCUCGGAGACCAGCACUGGGAUGUCCCACGUGGCUUUACUUCUCCCUCCCCAAAGUGCUAGUUGUUGUCAUCCUUGAUGGCUGUCCUGGGGCUGCUGCACGGGACCCCCAGGAAACUGAAAGAAGUAUGCCAAGAGCUGCUAUUCUUCCUGCAAGGAGCAAAUCUUUGCCUUAAAUUAAAUCUUAAACAGAAGCCCAACAUAAAUAAACCAGGUCUCCUACAAGUUCACCGUGUAGGUAAGAGCCGGCAUUGCUCUGGUUAAAUAGGGGACCCAGAGUACCUGCGCCUUCCCACCUGCAGCAGCCCCUGCAGCCCCCGAAGCACCCCCAUGGACCUAGGGUUCCACAAAAUAUGGUGCAAAAACCAACCAGCCAGCUUCUGUGUCCCUCGAGAACAUCCCUUCCACCCUGUCCUGCUUGCAGUCUUUCUCAGGAACUUUGAGAGAAAUAAAUGGAAGCAAGGUAAAUGGAUCUUAUUUAUUUGUGGGAUGGGGCAGGGGUGAGCAUCUUCCCUCAAUGUGCUCUUAGGUCUGGGAAGUGACACAUGGGUGGUGGGGCCCUCCUCCAAGCCAGUUAUCCUCGUGUUAAUCCCAUGGAAACAGAACAGAAAUCUUCAUUCAUCAGACCCGACUGGACCAGCUCCCGCCAGCAUUCUGAGGAGCAUGUGGGAGAGUGGGGACAGCACGGGACCAGGAGCCAAGAUGUCAGCGUCUCAGGCUUGCUCCACCACUAGCGAGCAGGUGAUCUUGGAUGAGCCAGAGCCACCUGAGAGGACACCUCUCCUGUACCCCCUUCAGAGUGCCUUUGAGGGCCAAAUAAAGUAGCCUUGCACAUUGCAUACCCUUAGCCACUUAG
Long non-coding RNA from Ailuropoda melanoleuca (giant panda), 1653 nucleotides. NCBI's taxonomy places the organism in Eukaryota, Metazoa, Chordata, Mammalia, Carnivora, Ursidae. The record is from Ensembl.